RNAcentral lists this microRNA precursor (116 nucleotides) under Chlorocebus sabaeus (green monkey). Its description in RNAcentral is "miRNA (ENSCSAG00000023025.1)". Lineage: Eukaryota; Metazoa; Chordata; Mammalia; Primates; Cercopithecidae. The record is from RNAcentral.
AGUCAGCCUAUCCUUUGAAGAUUUGAAGCCAGGCAUUGACUUCUUCCUAGCUCUGAAUGUCCUAGAUAGCAUCUUUUUCUAUUAUAAGACUAUUUUGUCUACAUUGAAAAUCUGUU